GUUGAUCUUGCGCAGCCAAUCACAAUACCUUGUGAGGUCACAAGUAUACAGGUCUCAUCAUGUCCAGAAGACUCUAUUUUAUCUUGGGCCUCCACAACCUCUCACGCUUAUGAUCUUCCUGCCUACUCUUCUGUGAUGGGGAUGGCAUAGGGAAUACGAUAUAGCUGUUCCAUCACAGCUCAGUGUAAGUGCCCAUGCUUACUUACCUAAGGCUACGGUCAUCUGAUAUGGCUGUGAGAAAUUAAAUCAGGCCAGUUGGAAGGGCCACAAUACUACUGAGGCUGUGACUAUUUUAUCGAGAGCAAUCAUACCUUUUAUACAUUUAUUUAUCAGAAACAGAAUAUAAUGGCAAUUGCCAGGAUCAAUACAGUUGUGGUUGCCAGGAUACAAUGACACUUGCAAGCUAUACAGAGUACAAAAGAUUAAUGUCUAAGAGCCAAUUGUUCUGUCAAGCUUCUAUGCAUCCUUGGCUACUAAGGGAAAAUACAGAAAUAUACAAAGUAGCCUGAAUGAAAGUUUCACAGCCUGAGGGGAGAGCAUCAGUUUCUCAGCAACUCGAAUGUAAAUUGUGCCCGAGGAGCCAACAUACUCUAACCUGAAAAACUAUGAUUCACAUCUCUCUAAGCAGUUAGGCCACGCCAACGCCAGAGUUCCCUGUAGCUGAGCACUCCUCAGAAACUUACUCUUUGCAUUUUGAACAGUUGUGAGGUUUGGCAUUAACCCCCAUCCACUGCACAAAGAAGCACCUUUUAUGAGGACCUAGAGCUGCAGUAAUCAAUGGGUUAAGGGGACAGGUUUAAAGAGCAAGGUGGAUACUUAUGUCCAUUUAGCAAACUAAUUGCAAUAGGCUCACUUCUCGUCUAUGCUAUAGUUAACUCAAACUGAACUGAUGCACUUCCAAUGACAUGUUUCCCUUUAGGAAGAGCCUCAUCUGAUGUCACCAAAAUGUUUAUAAUCUAGAAAAACUGGAGGACUCAAAAGGUUUUAACAUUUAUUUUUUUUGAAUUUUUAUUAGGUAUUUAUUUCAUUUACAUUUCUAAUGCUAUCCCAAAAGUCCCCCAUACCCCUUCCCCACCCACUCCCACUUCUUGGCCCUGGCGUUCCCCUGUACUGAGGCAUAUAAAGUUUGCAUGACCAAUGGGCCUCUCUUUCCAAUGAUGGCCGACUAGGCCAUCUUCUGAUACAUAUGCAGCUAGAAACACAAGCUCUGGGGGGUACUGGUUAGUUCAUAUUGUUGUUUCACCCAUAGGGUUGCAGUUCCCCCCAGCUCCUUGGGUACUUUCUCUAGCUCCUCCAUUGGGGGCCCUGUGAUCCAUCCAAUAGCUGACCGUGAGCAUCCACUUCUGUAUUUGCUAGGCCCCAGCAUAGUCUCAGAAGAUUUAAGCUAGGAAAAUUGGGCUCAGGAUGUAGCUCAGAACUCAGUGACAAAGCUAAGGGCCAGAGUGUUUGCCUAGUGGCUUGGGGCUGGAGAAUGAAUGAGAAUGAGAACCAGUCAUAAGGAUAGUACAGAGCUCUCCUGUACUUCCAACCCAGACUCUGCUACUGUUGACAAGCUACUUGAAUACACCGUGAUGAAUGAAACAAUAAUGAGACAUUUUCAGGGAAACUCUACACUGCAUUCAUAUUUUCAGUUUUUCCUAAUGUUUGUUUUUCUUUUGUUAUCUGCCCCUGAGUUCUAUCUGAGGUAAUAUGUCACACGCAAUUGUAUCUCUCCACCCCCCUAGGCUCCUCUUGGUAUGACUGAUUCUCAGACCUUGUUUUGACAACCUUGGGCACUUAGAGGAACACAAGUCUCUCAGAUCUCUGAGUAUUUAUUAAGAAUUGUACUGGGGCUAUGCAUUUUAAAGAACAAGAUUUCUCAGACCACCCUUUAUUAAUGCUAUGUCCUAGCAACUCGAUCCAUCAUUACUGAAGUUAACCUUGGUCACGUGGCUGAGGUAGUGGUCCUCAGAUUUUCACCCCUUCGUUUUGUAUUGUACUCCUUAGAAGGAAUUUUCUAUAAAUAACACACAACUCUACUCGGGAGGGACAUAUUUGCAUCUAUAUUCUUUGGAACUCAAUGGCAGAUAAGUUUAUUAUUCCUCCAUUAUUUAUUUGCUUAUUCAGUCACACAUUCAUGACAUUCUGGAUUCAUAGAUACAUCUUUAUAACAUUUUUUGUCAUUCUCCCAUACAUAUCAUUAAUUUUGUUUCUUGUAUUUCCAGAUUUAUCCUUGGAAACUCAGUUGAAUUAGUGUAUAUUUUAUUAUAGGUUUAAAACAAAUAUGAUGUGUAUUCCUAAAAGAUACCCAAAUACAUCUUAUAUUUUAGAGUAAAAUUAUUGUCUUCAAAGAAAAUUCAGGUCAGUAAAGUAUUCAAAUAGACUGAUUUUCUGUGAUUACAACAGAUUUUCGGUGUUUAUAUCAAGGCUUCUUCCAGCAUCAAGAAAGAAAUCUUUGUUUUUAUAAUUCCAAUCCUUGUUAACUUCCAUCUUGAUCCACACUGAUACCAACAAUGUUCUCAGUACCAGACUAGGGACCACACUACUGCAUACUUUGAAUAAUAAAAACCAAAGUCAAGACUGGAUCUAGAAACUUCCUGCUAUGAACAGAAGAAAAAGGGGGAAAAAAACCUUAUACUGCAAAAUUAGGACAACUCAUGGGGAUAUUAGCAAAGAUGCACACCAUGUGUGAUGUCGACAUUCUCGUGCCCGUGUUCUGAUGUCAGACUGUUGUUUCCCACCACACAGUACCAAGCCACAAUUGAGUCUGCUCUACCUGCUUAAACUAAAGGCAGAAUCUAUAAAUCUUCCACCUCAAGGAAGUAGUCUCCACUGAGCUCUUCACUUGUCCCCACAGAGACACAUUUAUCUCGAGGAACAGAAAGUAAAGUUUACCAUGUUAGUGUAAAAUCCAAUGUGUUUUGACAGAUACUCUCAGAUGUAUAAAUAGCCCAUUUCUUUCAUUCCAAUUUUUUUCUGGUUUCCUUUGUAAUUACUGCCUUUCCCACUGACAACCCUUGGCAACCAAGGACCUGAUCUUUGUCUUUGCCUUUCCUGGCGACCAUGCAGAUGGACCCAUAUGGUGUGCUGCCUUUUGUGUCUGGCUCCUUUCACUUAGUCUAAUUCUUAAAGAUCCAACCUUAUCAACACUUGCAUUAUAAUGAACUUCUUUUGUGCAAAGGAUAGUCCAUUUUAUUUCUUUAUCCAUUUAGCUUUUGAUAGACAUUUAGAUUGUUUCUGACCUUAGCAGAUGCAUGAACUCAGGCAUGUUUAUAUGGGCACACUUUCCCUCCUAACUCCAGUAAAUACUUAGGGGUUCAAUUGCCAUGCCAUUUUUAUUUAACUUUGUAAGAAAUUACCACUUUAUUUUUCACAGUAGCCCUACCCAUUUGCAUUUUUACCAGCAGUGUAUGGUCAUUUAGUGUCUUCAUUUUCAAUCUUUUGAAUCUUAUUCCUUUUCAUAAGCCUUGCACAAUGUUAAACCAGCAUUCUAUCACUGAGCCAUAUCCUAGCCACCUGUUUUAUAUAUUUUUGUAUUCUGUCUAAUAAAUCUUUUGGCCUAUGCCAAACUAUUGAGAUUUCUUGACUUCUUCUAAAAGUCAUAUGCUACUGAGUUCUGGAGAUACAUUUGGCUUGGGUCUAUUUUAAACUAACUUUGUUUAAUAUCAAAUAAUUAUUUUUAAGUUUUAUUAGAUUCUUAGACUCCAUAUUCAAUACAAAAUAUAAAAUAUAUCUGAAUGUUGUGUUGUUUUCCAUGGCUUGACCUGUUCUGCUCUAUUACUACAUAUAGUGAGAUGUUACCUGUAAUCUAUUGGCUUGGAGAUGAUCCCCCAGGGGAUAGCUUCUACUGUCCAUCCUCUCUUUGUAGUUGUUUUUCUUUUGCGCCUCUAAAAUCAGUAUCAGUGAGAUAGAUAUCUUUGAGAAAUUGUUACAGUCACAGAUUCCUUCAACCUUUAUCUUUAUUUUUUUAACUCUUUAAAAUUUUCAUACAAUGUAUUUUGAUCAUAUUCACCUCCCAAAUUCUCAUGGAUCCAUGCCCCUUUUCACACCCACCUAACUUUGUUUCCAUACUUGCCUUUAAAUUCAUAGAGUUAAAUUUGUGUUUUCCAUUUGCUCCUACACAUGUGGCUAUCUUCUGAACCAUGGUCAACCUAGCAUGAGCCACAGCCAUACCCUCUUCUAGCAGCCAUCAAUUGCCAGUGGCUCCUCAGUGAGGGAUAGGACUUCAUGCUCCCCUCCUCUUUGGAGUAUGUUGAAUGCCAACAUGGAAGAAUUGGGAUUGAAGAUGAAGUGUAAAAUAGUGAAGAAUGUGGAUUGUACAAUAAUGUUUUCCUUAGGACAGCAACAGAUCUUACAAUGUCCUUUGGAAAUACAAUCCCAGACUUAAGGCCAUAAGGAUCCUCAUAGAAGCAGAGCUGAGGUACAGCAGAUGGGUCUCUGCAAGGACAAACAAAUGGCAGAAGAAAAGGAAGCUGUAUUUGCCCUUUGAAAGCAUGUUUAGUUAAAGGUAAAAAUCCAAAAGCAGAUAAGAAAUAACUGAAGGUCCCCAUAUUGGAGGAGCAUCCAGAAGAGCUUGAGAUCCUAAAGAUUUCCAGAAAAGAUCAAGCAGAGGGAGGAUCCAGAGAAGAGAACUACACCUGUUUCUGGAGAUUUUUUUUUUUAAACAAGCAGUGGGGGUGGGGAGGAUGGAAGAUAUGAGAGUGUGCAUCUUUCAUUGCACCUUUUACUCUUUGGCUAAUGACUCAUUAAAAUAGGUGGAGUUUUGCAAACUAUUUUAUGAUCUGAUACAUUCUGGAAAAGCAAAGUGCUUUUGUGUAGCUUUGGAGAGACAAUACAAUGAGUAGAGAAUGCCAUAAGUUGGCUAGGGAGCUUUGAGAAAAAGAGUCACUGAAGUCUACUCAGGAGUCUAGGAACAAUAAAGGAAGAAUGUUUGACAACAGAGAGGAGGGGAGAAGAUGAAAAUGGGUUUCUUGCUAAAUAAUCAGGCAUGGAUUAGAUGACUACCUUUCUGAAUAGGAUCCUUUCCUCUAUGAUUUUGAAGUCAGCAAUCCUCAGUGAUUGAUAGAUCUUUUCUUGAGGUUUUCUUCAUGUCUUCAUUUUAAGAUCUAGUCUAUUACCUUUAAGAGCUGAGUUACUCCAUGUCCCCUUUUCAUUCUUGGAAAAUAAAUUCCUUCAAGAAGUAGCAAUAUUUUUCUAAUAGUGUAUAAAACACUCUUUAAAGAGACCUAUUAUUAAUUAAUAAAGUUUAUUUUUAGAAUCUCUUUAGUUUUAUACCUCAACAGAAUGGUAUAUGCAGACAUUGUGUGUGUGUGUGUGUGUGUUUAAUGGACUAAGUCUGUUUCUGUUGAUUUUGUGUAUAUAAUUUCAGAACUUACCACUUGUUUGCACAAUCAAAAGGAGGGCUCAUCUCUGGAGCAAUUUGUCUUUCUCUCUUCAGUCAUUAGAUACCUGUAGUUUUUUGUAAUGGUAGGGCCUUGCAAAUUCCCCCCUUUGUGUUACCAUAUUCAUUGAUAUUGCCAUUGUUUCAGUCUUGUUCAUGCAUCCAUUUCUAGGAGAGAUCAUUUUGAAAGACUUCCAGGUACUCUGGUUCUUUCUAUCUGCUCUUCUGAGACAUCUCCCGAAUCACAGAUGCAAGAGCUAUGGUGUACACGUAACUAUUGGACUGGGAGCCAUUGAUCUCCACAUUUUGUCCAGUUCUACUUUUUUAUGAUGGUCUUCAUUUGGUGUCAAGAGAGGCUUCCUAAGUAAGGGAUGGUAGCUUCUCUUACCUGUGGAUACAUGAAUAAAAUUUUGAAUGUAAAAUGGAAUUGUGCUGGUCUAGUAAAGUGGUGGUAAUAGAUUCUUUUCUAAAGUCCAUUAACUCGUUAUACGCAGCAAGCUAGUUAAUUUUCCAGUUCCAGACAUGAUUUCCCUCCUGCUGAAUGGGCUGUAUGUCCAAUUAGACACCUGUUGGUUGCCACCUUGUGAACCAUGACAAUUACCACUAUGGCAAGAUAUACAUAAAAGUACUAAUUCUUUUCUCAACAACAAAAAUAAAAGGGGGCACAAGAAAAGAUGAGAGAGGGUUAGAUUAUGGCUACAAGAACACAAAUUAUAAUGGACCAUGGGUCAAUUUUGUAUUAAUUUGGCAAGUAUGUUCACUUGGAAAAAUUAAUUAAUCACCUAUAUAUGUCAGAAUGUGCUUGGGUUGAGACACAUGAGGAAGAAUGAUAAAUGUAUAUGUCCAAAGAGAUGGACCAUCUAGAUGCCUCAGAUUGAAACACUUCCCGCAAUGUUUUCCUCCCUUAUUUUUAUCCUAGUUUUUAGAAGUAAUAGGACUCAAAACUUAAACAUUUCACAAUGUCAGCUGUUUCCCUUUCAGACUAAUUUUACUGUCGCAGGUGAGUGUUGUGUAAUAGAGUCUGUCAAGAAGGAUGCUAUGCAUACUUUUCUUUAGUUUAUAACUUGUCACCAUGUUGUCUAACAACACAGAAAAGCCACUGGUUCUAAAUGUGUCAUUAAAUACCUCUGUGGGCCAACUCUAUCCACCCUCCAUUCUUUAGGUCUUUAAGCCAGUUCAGGACCUGUUCCCGUCCAGUGUAUUCUUGAGCUGUACGCUCUUCUUACCUAAUCCCCAUCUGUCUAUUCUUCUUGGGGUCUGAGGCUGGAAAAUAAUGUUCUGUUGUUCCUACCUCUCUUUUGGUAACACCUUUUAUUCAAAGGCAAUUUAUUCUGCUAUUUUUUUUUUUGGCUGCCAUGUUUCCUUAUGAAUAUGUUGAUCUUCUUGAACAUGGAUGUUCUUUAUGGCUAGUCUUUCCCCACCUACAUUUUAUAUUUCAUGAAAUAAAUAUAUUCCAAGUACAUUACCCAAAAGAAUAGCAUCAUUUGCAUUUUGUUGAACAUUUUAUUUCUUUUAUUAAUAUUAAUACUGUCUUUGACUCAUUUUUAUAGUGUCUUUUUAUACCCCUUUGGAUUUAGCACUCAAAUAAUUGUCAGUGGCUAAGUAAAUGUUAGGUAAUGCCUUUUCACGCAUUAAGAUGCAUAGCCUUUGGAUUUGGAGACUUUUACAUUAACUUUAAAAUAGGGAGUUAUUUUUGGAUGCAUUAAUAAAACCUCUCAGGCAUUAUCCUCUGUUAAUUCUCAUGCAUUCAUUUUUAUUUUAAAAAUGAGUCUGAAGAAGCUUCACUUUUGGGGAACAGGGAAUCUCAGACACUAAAAGAAAGUUACUAGAGGGUCACAGUAAUACCUCAUUUGCUUCCCCAUCCAUUGAUAUUCUUUUUGAAAAUCAUUUUUCUUUCUGAGGUAUACUGUUAUUCUCUAUAUUACAAAAGUGAGACAUUGCAGGUGCAGAGGCACGUCAUACCUAAUGCAGAGUACAGGAUCAGCAUCAUCAUAAGACAAUGGGCCAGGCAUCACAGGCUCACCUCAUCACUGUUAUUCAUGUGACACUGGUAAGACUUCUCCAAAAUGACAGACAUCAUCACCUAGCAAACAUUUAUGUUGUAAACCAGGAGAGAUACAAAGUCAAAGGUACAUGUCGUGUUUGUCAUUAUAUAUUGCAGGUAUACUAGUACUUUGUGAAUGACAGGCAAUUGGAUGUUUCUGAGAAUUUACUGUAUGAGUAGAGUUAAAAAAACUAAAUGGCAGAAAAUAAAGAGGUGAGCCAGAGAAUUAGUUGUUAACAAUAUCCUCAAGACAAUAGAAUAAUAAAGAAAUAUUGAAAAAGAUCACUCUAACAAGGAUGCAAAGGCCAGACAGUAAAUCUCUUAGGCCUCGUGGACCAUAUGUAGGCAUUACUACUUUUUCCUAUAUGCUUGUUUAUUUUCCAAGCACUCUGUAAUGGCAAAAACCUUUUGUUAGGCUGUAGAUAACCUCAAAAUCAGACCUGGAUUGGGUUUGGCCGGAAGGUUCUAGUUUCUUGCUAUAAAGCCAAAUCACUAAAUGAUCCCUGAUACAUUCACAGGGUUAUAGAUUUAAGAAAGGCAACAUUAAAAGCAGUUCCUUAGGCCAUCUCCUUGGCUAAUGUCAUUUAUAUAUGGCCCAAGACAUUAUUUCAGGGAAGAGUAGUCAUAAUGGUGCCAUUAUGUCUUUGUCAGCUCUAUUAAGGUAACACUUGUUACUUGAGGUUUUGAAAUUUUGUCAUACUGGUUUUAUGAAACAAGUUGAGAAGUGCUUCCUGUUCUUAAGUUUUCUAAAGAAGAGCUUGGGUAAGACUAGUUUGGCGAGUUUCUCUGUUGAGAAGCCAAUACCGAUUUCACAAGUCCGGUCAAGAUUAACAGUCAUAGGUAUCUACAGCCACAUCGUUCCCAAGCUCCUCUUCCCUCUGCUACCUCUUUUCUUUCCCUUCUCCUCAUUCCCACAUUCCCAUUAGGAGGUUCUUUACUCUUUAGGAUUUUUAGCUUAUCCAAUGGCUUUAGGUACAAGGACGACAAUACCCAUCAUUUUAAUUGCCUAUGUUGCAGACCUGUUCUGUGACUCAGAAUAAAUUCAGGGAAAAGAAGCUAGAAAAGAAGUUCAGCCAGGAUAGCCUUUCCCAUGCUGAGGACCUCCUCAAAGAUCUUGCUGCCCUCCUUAGUAGUCUUGCUUUUCUUACAUUUAGGAUCUCUAGGUCAGUGGUUCUCAACCUGUAGGGUGCAACCCUGUUGCAGAUAUUUACAUUAAGAUUCAUAACAGUAGGAAAAGUUAUUCUUAAGAAGGAGCAAUGGGGUUAAAUUUAUGGUUGGGGGUCAUCACAACACAAGAAACUGUAUUAAACGUGACCACAUUGGAAAGGUUGAGAGGCACCUUGAGAGGUACCUUGGAGAUUAUCAACACAUAUGUUUCUGUGCGUGUCUGGGAGGCCAUUUAAAAAGAAAAGAAAAGAAAAGACAAGAAAAGACAAGAAAAGACAAGAAAAGACUAGAAAAGACAAGAAAAGACAAGAAGAGAAAAGAAAGGAAGAGAAAAGCUAACAAAGAAAAGACCUGCACUCCAAAAGUGGGAAGCAGCAUUUUACGGAUUGAAAGCCUUUAAGGAGAGUGCCACAGACAUGUGUGUUGUCUCUGCAUCACGGCUGUCACGCGGUGAGGUUUGGCUUCCCUACAAGUCUCUCUGCCACUGUGAGGCAUGGAUGCCUCCAAGACUGAGACAAACAAACCUUUGCGUCUUCAUUCUCACAAUGCUGAAAUGUUCAGCACAGACACUUCCAUAAAGAAUAAGACAGCAGUGGGGUACCAAGAGUGACAGCUGCAUCUCUUGAAUUAUUUGAGUAUACAUUAUCAGCACAGAUAUGAUGUUUAUGCAGUCAAAUUCACUACUCUAAAUAUCUGCACAGGAUAGAAACUUAGAAAUCCAACACUGAGCAAAUAUUAAAUAUUAUAGCUCUCACUUCACCAUUUUAUAUGUCAUAUCCCAAAGUAAAAUUUGUACUUAAGUUUAUUCAAUCCUCAUUUUAGACUCACUAUGUAAUUACAAUAUGUACCACACAUAUUCACACACGCACAUAUCCUGAAAUCAUAGGCCCUAUGUGUGGAGUGUGAAUGCUAUUACAUUUUUCCAACCCCAAAUUCUAAAGCAUCAUCAAUGUUCCAUGAAAAAGAAUACAUUGGUACUUGUUUACUAAUAUUUUUGCAUUGAAUUUAACAAGGUAGAUUUACUUUAAUUCCAUUUAUUUUGGUGCAGGGGCAGAAAUACGAGUUAAACUUGGAUGGUUCUAUCCUAGUUUUAGAAAAUAUUAUAUGAAGUACAAGGUACAAGAAUGUCCAAUGCUUUGAUAAGAAUAUAAGGAUGCUGACUGUCUUAGUUAUAUUUUUCCCUUGUGAUAAAGUACUAAGACAAAAGCAGCUAAAGGAAGGUGAACCAUUUUGGCUCACAGUUCCAGGGUAGAGUCCAUCAUGUGGAUCAUGCUAUCUAGUAGCCCCUGGUACAGAAGUCGGAGCAGCGAGAGCUUGGGGCAGCUGGUCACAUCACUUCUCCAGUCAGGAAGAAAAGGGAGAUGAACUAAAGCCUGUGCUCAGGUUGCAUUCUCCACCUUUACACCCUAGAGAAUAGUGGCAUCCACAGGAGGUGGGCUUUUCCAUCUCAGUUAACCUAACCAAGAUAAUUCUGUCACAAGAAUGCCCAGAGGGCCCCCAUCUCCCAGGCAGCUCUAAAUCUUACAAAAUCGAUGGUUAUUAACCAUCACAGUAACGAAACCAAGAAAACAACGAAUGGCACAAUUUAUGUGAAAUUUAUAAGAAUUGAUGAUGGUUAUAGUGUUGGAAGUAACCAUACUGGUUAUUUAAAUGUAUGUUUUAAACAAACUAAUUAAAAUGUGGAAAUUUAAUACAGGAGCAAGUUUUAUUUAAAAAAAAAAAAAAGAGUACUUUCCCUGCAUCUUCCUGUUUUAAAGACAAAUGUCUUUUAAAUAAGCAUCGUUCGCAUUUUUUUCUCCCUGUAAAAUUUGUGCAAUAUAAUACUCUAGUUCCUAUGUAUGUAUGUAUGUAUGUAUGUAUGUAACAGAGGAACUCCAGUUCCUAUGUAUGUAUGUAUGUAUGUAUGUAUGUAUGUAUGUAACAGAGGAACUAGAGUUCCUCUGUUUCAUUUAGUUCAGAGUUCUCUUUUGCCUGUCAAUCCUGAAGCUAGUCUCAUCUAAUACUUUAGUCAUAUGGAUAAUACUUAGUGAAUGCCAAACAGUAUUGCAGGUAGUGGAGAUGUGGUGAUGGUAUGGGGAUUGGGAGACAUCUUGACUCAAAUAAAAUAAGCAAAUAAUCAAAACCUUCCCAUAGAAACUGGUCUGUCUUUAGGAAUCAAGCUGGACUAAGUGAUAGAGGUUAGGCUAAGGAUCCUGAGACAAAACUCAUUGAACAGAUCAUAGUUUACCUCUAUGUUAGCUUUUCUUCAAGACUCUUAAAAGUAAAGGGGUCAACAUGAAAAAUGCUGUAAAGCACACACACACUUGGGGUAUCAGGAAAAUGGAAGGAAGUCUGGGUGGGGAGAGUGGAGGUAGGGACUGAAUCCAAGACCUAGUGCACGCCAGGCAGGCCUUCUAUUAUUGAUAUGUUUUCCCAGUCCUUUCCUAUCUCAUUUUUAAACAUGAAUGUCAAAGCCAAUACUGCCUGUAACAUCAUUCCUAACUGUUCAGGUAUUAGAUAUCACUCUCCGUGUUUACACACUCACUCAUUCAUUCUUUGAAACUCAAGCAUGCAUUGAAAUUUGUUCUUGUACCAGGCAGUGUGCUAAGCACGAGAAAUGUGAAGAAGAUAAGACACUGAAUAUGCUUUUCAAAAUCCCAGUAUUUACUGAUGAAGAAUAAUGAUAAAACUACCAUUUAGUACUCAUGUAUUCUAGCAGAUAUUAACAAAUAAGCAUAGUAAAAUUGAAACAUGCUGUUUGACAGCACAGUGGAGAUAAACCCCAUCUCUAUCAACUUGAGUAGUGUUUCAAAAGAGCAGAUAGGUUGCCCAAUCUGAGCCUCUGAGCUUAGUUUGUUUCACAGUAUUUCAUAGCAGUCCUUAUAGAUUAUGUAGCCCUGGGGAGGGAAAGGCUUAGUCCAUCUGAUCAGUUCUAGGGACUUCCUGAAGCCUUUGCGUUGUUUACUUCUUGGUAUUAAGGGUCUUCCCUCCAGGAUAGAAACUUUACCUCCUUAGAAAGAAAUAUCUUGGAGCUUCCUCUAAGAUGGACUGUAUCAACUCUGAGGAAAUUUCUCUACAGUGAAGGGAAAGUGUAGAUGGUUGCUAUGUGGCAGUUAGAAGGGUAGUUUUGGGUAUGGAGAACAAGAACAUAAUGAUGAGGUUGUUGGAUAAUACAAAUAGAUGGUGAAGUAUAUUUAGGACAGCAGAAGGAAUGACAAGAAGCACUGGAUAUAAGAAACAACUCUGCCCCAAAAAACAACCAGGAUAGGUGACCAAAUGGAUGUGAAGCAUAUGGAGAAAGGAAGCCUUGGUAGGGCUGCUUGGAUGCUACUUUGACUAAAAUAGAAGACAGAGGAAGAUGACCACAGUCAAAGGAAGGAAAACUAUUUCUGUGCUGAGUGGAUUAUGCUGGAAGUCUCACAAUACACUUAGACACUUAUUUCACUGAUUCAGUUUACAGCUCAGAGGGUCUCUGGCAGCUGCUGAAGAAUGCCCUAUGGGCUGAGGAUCCUGGAUAUAAGGGUGGCUUAGCUUACUAGGUCGAAUGUUGGCCAGAAGAGCUCAGAAUCAUGCAUUUCACUUCCCCAUAUGCUCCUUAGCAUCCAUCGUGCAUGUGUUUUGUCCCUAGCAGGUGCUGACUUAGUUUAUUUUGUACUUCUCUAACAGACAAUCAAAUAUUGGGUACAUUGCAAAGAAUAGAAACUAAUUUAGGUUAUUGUUCUGAAGUCUAGCUUCUGGCAAGGGCCUCCAUACUGCCUAACAUGGCCAUGGUGGGAUGGUAAGUGAAUAUGAGAAUAGAGGGAGAGGGAAGGAGAGUAGAACUGAAGAAUAGAAGAAGCAGGGGGAGAGAGAAGGAGAACCAACCCACUCUCACAAUAGAUAGUCCACUCCCAAGCAGCUGCAUGAAUCCUUUGAGAGCCAGGGACUCUUAGCAUCUAGUCUCUUAAUGGCCUCACUUCUUAAUACUAUUAAAAUGACAACUAAAUUUCAACAUGGGUUUUGGGAAGGACUUCAAAUCAUAGCAAGUAUUCAAUAAUAUGGGGAGAAGAACAAAUAUGUGGAGUUUUAGCAUGACUGAGCCCGUCUCACAAGAUUAACUGAUCCUUACAGCCUAGAUAUUCCACAGAGCAGUAAGUAAACUCAGUGCAUCAUGCAUCUCUCUGUGAGCUAGGAUAUUGUCUUGGGAGAAACCCAUUCCUAGAGUGGAGUUCUGAGUAGGACUUUGUAUUUUUCUUAAAUUAACUCUGCAGUUUAUUUUGUUAUAUUUGUAUUUUAUUUAAUUUAAAAAGCUUACAUGUUUUAAUCAUGUUCAUCCCUUCCACUGAGUUUUUAUAGAUCUUCUCCUCCUCCUUACCCACUCACAUUUAAGUUCUUUUCAACAACAACAACAACAACAACAACAACAAUCCCCCAAAACCCAAUACAACAACUUUCCCUAACCAAGAAAACAAAAUAAAACCAAACUUAAAACAAAGCAAGACAAAAAAAAAAAAAAAAAAAAUCAAAAAAAAAAAAACCACCCCCAAAACCUGUGGACUCCAUUAUAUAUUGAUCAAUUACUCCUGACCCUGAGGCCAGUCCUGGAAUGGUUGAUAUAGCCAGUGUCAUAUCAUUGAUAAGAACUCAUUUUCCCUCUCCUAGUAGGUAUAAACAACGGUUCAGUUGUUAGCGUUUACCCUCGUGGCUAGGUUUUCAUUCAUUAACCAAUUGAUUCAUUUUUAAAAAAAAAAUUUUUAACAAAUUAAAUAUAGUAAGAUAUAACAAAAACUAUCACAUUGAAAUUAGACAUGGCAAACCAAUAAAAAAAAAAGAGCCUAAAAGAAGGAAAGAAUCAGAGAUUCACUUUUUCACACACUCAGGAAUCCCACAAAGCACUACAUUGGAAUCUAUAAUAUAGACACAGAGGCCCUGGUACUUGCUGCCCCAGUCUCUGAGUUUAUGUGAGGUUUGCUCAUGUUGAUUUAGAGGGUCUAGUUUUCUUGAGGUCCUCCAUUCCCUUUGGCUCUUACACUCUUUCUUCGUCCUGAGCUGUGAGGAGAUGGUUUUGAUGGAGACAUUCCAUCUUGUGCUAAGUGUUCCAGUGCCUGUCUGUAGGUCUCUAAUGUCUUUCUGGGUCUGGGAUACCUCUCCUAGGAUGAUUUUUUCUAGUUCUAUCCAUUUGCCUGCAAAUUUCAUGGUGCCACAUUUUUUAAAUGACAGAGUAAUACUCCAUUAUGUAAAUGUACAUAUUUUCUGUAUCUAUUCUAUUGAGGGACAUUUAGGUUGUUUUCAAUUUCUGGUCAUUACGAAUAGGGCAGAAUGAACAUGGUUGAGCAGAUAGAAUGAGGCAUCUUUAAGGGGCAUGCCUCAACAUAGUAAAGGCAGUUUACAGCAAUCUCAUAGCCAACAUUAACUUAAAUAGAGAGAAAUUCAAAGCAAUUUCAUUAAAACCAGGAACAAGACAAGGUUGUCCACUCUCUUGAUACAACCUCAAGUACUAUAUUAUAUCAAGCACAAUAAGACAACAGAAGGAGAUCAAAGAAAUUUGAAAGGAUGAAGUCAAAGUAUCUUUAUUUAUAGAUGAUAUAAUAGUAUACAUAAGUGAUCCAAAAAAUCCCACCAAGGAACUCCUCCAGCUGAUAAACUCUUUCAGCAAAACAGCUAGAUACAAAAUUAACUCACGAAAGUCAGUAGUCCUCCUAUAUACACAGGACAAACAAUCUGAGAAAAAAAAUCAGGGAGACACUUGCCUCAAAAAACUAUCUUGAGGUUUCUCCAACCAAGCAAGUGUAAGGCAUGUGUGAUUAAAAACUGCAGUUUAUGCAGCAGAUGGCAAUGUAAGGAUAGCAUUUGGGGAAUGUAAAUGGAACCUUUUUAAGAUUCUGGAUAAAAGUGAGAGGAAAGGACCUAACCUAUUUUAUUUUCAACUCUUACCUGGGAUCCAGAGCUAUAUCUACAAUAUUAAAUGUUAAUAAACAUUUGAAAGAUGAUGAGUGGAAUAAUAUAGAUUUUUUUGUGUGUGUUUAUAAUUCACUGGGUAAUUCUGUGACACGCAGUGUUAGGCAUGUUCCCUCUCUGUCUUCUGCCUCUCAAAGCAAUCUGAAUAUUUGUACUCAAGCACUUUCAGGACAUUCAACUUUCUGCCCUUUGUCAACUUUUCUAGAUAGGCAACCUAAAAAGCUAAGAUCCUUUGUUCACAUCUACAAGAGGAAAGAAAAAUUUUUCCUUUUGCAGCUCCUGCCAGAGUUGGUUUUAAAUCAGGAGUUUUAGCAGAAUCUGAUUUUGUCUAUUGUCUGUUCAGGAUGAGUCUCAUUCAGGUUUCGAUGAUUACUCAUGAAGGAGGGCAGAAAUGGUUUCUUAAUUGACCAGAAUGGAGUGAAUUGGUGGCACUUUAAGAUGCCAGAAUAGUUCCUGCAGGUAUCCUUAGUAACACCUGCUAUGAUGUGAAGAAAGUCCCUGUUCAGCCACAAAGCAAGUGGCUACUAGCCUCAUCUCUUUUAUCUCAAUUUUUUUUUUUUUUUGCUUCAUUGAUUCUUUUUUUUCCCCCAAUUUUUUAUUAGGUAUUUUCUUCAUGUACAUUUCAAAUGCUAUCCCAAAAGUCCCCCAUACCGCCCCCCUCACCUGCUGCUCUCCUACCCACCCACUCCCACUUCUUGGCCCUGGUGUUCCCCUGUACUGGGGCAUAUAAAGUUUGCAAGGCCAAGGGGCCUCUCUUCCCAAUGAUGGCCGACUAGGCCAUAUUCUGCUACAUAUGCAGCUAGAGACACGAGCUCUGGGGGCACUGGUUAGUUCAAAUUGUUGUUCCACCUAUAGGGUUGCAGACCCCUUUAGCUCCCUGGGUACUUUCUCUAGCUCCUCCGUUGGGGGCCCUGUGUUCCAUCCAAUAGCUGACCAUGAACAUCCACUUCUGUGUGGAAUGGAUUAUCUCAAUCUUUAUCCUCUGUGUUUGCAUGAUGCUUCCAUGGAGAAAAUAGAGAUGAUACAUUCUCCUGGUGACUCCUGUCUUCACCCUAGCCUUGCCUCUGCCCUUGAGCCCUCCUUCCUGGCUUCCCCACCUCCCACCUUCUACACUUCCUCCUGUUUCUCUGGAUUUAUUAAUCUGUAACAUGUGCUUGAAGUCCAUCUCCAGGAACAUUCCAUUUGACUAGGAGAGAGUAUGUUGCAACUCACAUAGGUUCCAGGUCCAAGUUUCCAUUUCUCCCCGAGUCCUUUAACAUGUCUAGAUGCAGGCACCAGUCAGUCUCAUUGGUUCAAGCACACACAGCUGAAGAGUACAAAUAUUUACCAAUUAGCAGUCAGAAUAAGGUAGAAUAGCCAGUCCUGUGGCUUUGAACAACUGUACUUCAUGGUUGCACUUAGGUCAUUCUGCUUCUGCCCAGACUGUUCUCCCAGGUCCAUGUUCUUUGCAACUUGCCUAUUUUCUUUUUCAGCCCUUGGUCAAGAAUAUAAAUUCAGCUCUUUGUCUGCAAACCAUCACACUUCUAAUUUAGGAAAUGUGGGAGAGAAUGAGACAAUAUCUAUGACAGAAAUUCCUGAGGUCUCUUCAUACAGUAAUUAUAUUAUAUAGCUUAGUACAUGUAAUGUUUUAACCAUGUAAUAGUAUAAAAUAUAUUUUAAAUAAACACUGUAAGACUAAAUCAUGCAUAUACAAGUAGGUGUGAGAAAAUUUCAAGAAAAAGUUAAAUUAUUAUAUACUAUAUUAUUUCCCCAUAAAUGUAAAAUGUGAACUAUCUGAAAUUUCUCUUUGCUUGGCAGAUUUAUUCUUGAAUAGUUUGCCUUGUUUUGGGGCAUGAUGGCUACAUCUCUCAUUCCAGCACUUGGGAAGUAGAGGAAGGUAGACGUCUGUAAGUUUAAAGCUAGCCUGAUCUACAUAGUGAGUUGCAGACCAGCCAGGGGCACAUAGGGAGAUAUGGUCUCAAAAAUCAAAACAAAAAAGAGAGAUAAGAGGAAAUAACUAUUGAAAUCAUGUUCUGGCAUUUUAUCUUCUGCCAAAGGCCUCAUCCUUCCUAAUGGAGUAAUGUUUGAAAUAAACAAAGGAAUCUGCAGAAAUGCAUCACUGGAGAAGUUUGCAGCCAGUCAGGCAACACAGUGAUACCUUUUUGUUUCAAAAAGAGAGACAGAAAGGAAUAAAGGGAAAAUUAUUAAGAAAGGACUUAGAUAUACUUUGCAACUGGAAAUGAGAGAACUUUUAAGAUUGUGUUCCUAAGCUAGUAGCCACAAAUACAGCACAGAAGUCAUUUAAGUUCAGAUGGAGUUCCCUAGAUAAAUGGUCUUCACAGGGGGAGGAGUCUCAAGGGCAUAGCCUACAGUAUGGCUUCAGGAGGCUCUGGAUGGAUGUUUGUUCAGUGAAUUGAACUGUCCCAGAAGCUCUGAUCUUUACUGCAGAGCACUGACUGACAACAGCAGUUUGUCUUAGUUUCAUUUGGUUUCUUGAGACAGACUUUCAUUAAGGACUCCAGGCUGUUCAGGAAUUCAAUACGUAGCCAUGGCUGGCCUGAACUCACUAUGUGCACCCAUGAUGGCCUCUAAUUCAAUGGCAGUCUUCCUAACUCAGUCACUCGAAUGUUGGAAUUACAGUGUAAGCCACCAUGUCAGGUUCAGCCUUUAUUUCUAAAUGAGUUUUACCUCUCCCCCCCCCCCCCCCCCCGCCUCAGUCACAUACUUUCAGAGAGGUGCAGCUGAUUCUCACAUCUUUGAGAUUUACUGAGGUGAUCUACUGCCUGAGAGCCUGUAUGUUAAUGAGCUUCUAGAGGAGUAUGAUGGAAGAGAUGACCAAAUUCUUGGAGCCUAUCUCAGAAGCUUUGAUACAUCAGCGGGGGGGGGGGGGGGGGGGAGUCAGAGCUCACUUUUGGGUUUCAAAAACCCACCAAUUCUUGAUCUUGAAAACCCACAGAUCCUGGAGCUUGAAAUCCUACCAAUCCUUCAGCUUGCCUCAAGCUUAGAAAUUGAAAUCUUGCCCAUCCUCACCCUGGAAAUUUCCUCCCUGGCAAACUUUUCCUCCAAAACAUUCGAUAUAAGCCUACUUCCCACCUAGUUCUCUGCUCCUUAUCACCCAAGCCGAGGCAGCCACCCUCUUGUGUCUUUCCAAAUAACUCUCUGGUGUGAGGCUUGUUGUGCAGCAUGAGUUUGUGGUGAACCUUGGCUCCUGAUGGCCAGGAUACCUUCCUCUUCUGAGCUGUAACAUUUGAAACACUUGCAAUGCAGAAACCUUUCCCCUUCAGAGCUGUAAGACAACAUCACAUCUUAUCAUUGCUUUUAGAUGAUGCCAACGCAUUUAUUGCUUUUAUUGUAGGGAAAGGAGAAGGAGUUCAUACUAUUUUUUCAUGAUUUGUCUAGUUAUUUUUUGACAUUGUUAUUACCUGUUUUCCUAGAUAUUAGUUAUCCCUGAGUUGAAGAUAAAACAAAAGUGAAGAGGAAAGUGGGUGGACAGGUGGAAUACAGGGAAUACUUUCAUGUAGUUGUGGUUCAGUCAGAUGGCUAAAAACCUGCUAUGUUAGGAAAGUACUCCCAUUACUUACAGCCAAUUGGCUAAAAUGCACAGGCGUCUAAAGAAAUGUGUGAUCAGUCUUAGAAAAUAGCUCAGGGAUCUUUUUCUUCUACAGAAUGAGUUGGCUUUGUAAAUCUUGACAUAUUUUAAACUAAACUCAAUUAAACUAAACUCAUGCCUUUUCAUUUAGUCCUCAUUACUAAAACAAUUUUUACUCUAGUCUCAUCCUAGCUCUAGCCCUACUCAAAUAGCAACAGUAUCAUUUCAUCAAUAAGAAUGGGAUGGUGACCAAAAAUUCAUGAUGCUGUGAAGCCAAUGUUAGUUCUAUUCUUGAGAUUACAUUUCUUUUUCUUUCUUUCUUUUUUUAACUCUAAUCUCUUUACAAAGACUUUGUAUCCACUUCUCAGUCUCUGCUCUCCAGAUUCCUAGGCUGUUUCCUGGUCUCACUGCUUCUUCUCUCUGGCUGGUGAAACAAUGUCUCCCUUACCCUCUGCUCCUCAGCACUGCAUGGCUUUAGAGGAUGUGAGGGGUAUGAGGUGUUCAUACGGUUAAUACUAACCACAUUUGAAUGACGACACUCCCAAGGACUCUCAGGUCUUAUCCACUUGAAAUGCCCACGUUGAGGAAGACAGAAUCGGUGAUGCACAGAAACAGGUGGGAAAGGCCACCUAGGCUCUCUUGCCCCAGACUAUGUACCUCUGAAAGAACCAGCUAUUUUAGAGUUUUAGAUUUUAGGAAGGAUGAGCUGUGCAUUCUAACUGGGCAACGUUUUGUCCUUGUUUGCAUUUGGUAACCUGAAGGUCUUUUGGAUGGACCCUGUGGACUGCAGGCAAGUACUUAUUAACACUUCAGUGUUAAUGCUGGAAUCUGAUGGAGUCACUGAUUGGCAUUUGCUGACCUGGAGAGAGGAUAAUGGCUGUCCAAAGCUUAUUCCAAGAGAGUAGAAUGUGGGUUUAGGGAGGUUAUUUAAAAGCUAAUGAUAGGAGAGAGAGAGAGAGAGAGAGAGAGAGAGAGAGAGAGAGAGAGAGAGAGAGAGACAGAGAGACAGAGAGACACAGAGAGACACAGAGAGAGACACAGAGAGAGAGACAGAGAGGGACAGAGAGAGAGACAGAGAGAAGCAGAGAGAGAGAGACAGAGAGAGAGGAGAGGAGAGGAGAGGAGAGGAGAGGAGAGGAGAGGAGAGGAGAGGAGAGGAGAGGAGAGGAGAGGAGAGGAGAGGAGAGGAGAGGAGAGAGAGAAGAGAAGAGAAGAGAAGAGAAGAGAAGAGAAGAGAAGAGAAGAGAAGAGAAGAGAAGAGAAGAGAAGAGAAGAGAAGAGAAGAGAAGAGAAGAAGAAAAUAUGAAUGCGACUAGGGCGAGGUAUUAGAGAACAUGAAUUAAGUCCCUAGGUUUGGGUGGCACUUGAGACCUGCCCUUAGACUACUCUCAGCAUUCUGAGGAGCUAGGAGGUGGGGGAUGUAUCUGUGGUUAGGAAGCUGCCUGAGGUUUGGGUUAUAAAGAAUAGCGAUUUGAAGCUUCAGUAGGUAGCAGCAAGAAGCCCAGAAGAUCAAUGGCAGACACAACUCACUAUUUGCCUUUUUAAAGGAGGUUAGGAAUUUCAUCCAUGGGGGAAUUUUCUUGGCCUUAUAUUGACAAUUAAGUCAAUUAAAAAAAA
Long non-coding RNA from Mus musculus (house mouse), 19671 nucleotides. RefSeq annotates it as predicted gene, 40647. The record is from RefSeq and is a predicted model, not a curated record. The transcript has 2 exons. Lineage: Eukaryota; Metazoa; Chordata; Mammalia; Rodentia; Muridae.